GAGUAAUGUCUGGGAAACUGCCUGAUGGAGGGGGAUAACUACUGGAAACGGUAGCUAAUACCGCAUAACGUCGCAAGACCAAAGAGGGGGACCUUCGGGCCUCUUGCCAUCGGAUGUGCCCAGAUGGGAUUAGCUAGUAGGUGGGGUAACGGCUCACCUAGGCGACGAUCCCUAGCUGGUCUGAGAGGAUGACCAGCCACACUGGAACUGAGACACGGUCCAGACUCCUACGGGAGGCAGCAGUGGGGAAUAUUGCACAAUGGGCGCAAGCCUGAUGCAGCCAUGCCGCGUGUAUGAAGAAGGCCUUCGGGUUGUAAAGUACUUUCAGCGGGGAGGAAGGCGACAGGGUUAAUAACCCUGUCGAUUGACGUUACCCGCAGAAGAAGCACCGGCUAACUCCGUGCCAGCAGCCGCGGUAAUACGGAGGGUGCAAGCGUUAAUCGGAAUUACUGGGCGUAAAGCGCACGCAGGCGGUCUGUCAAGUCGGAUGUGAAAUCCCCGGGCUCAACCUGGGAACUGCAUUCGAAACUGGCAGGCUAGAGUCUUGUAGAGGGGGGUAGAAUUCCAGGUGUAGCGGUGAAAUGCGUAGAGAUCUGGAGGAAUACCGGUGGCGAAGGCGGC
This 621-nucleotide ribosomal RNA is filed under the name Enterobacter cloacae. RNAcentral's name for it is "bacterial SSU rRNA". It matches the Rfam family "Bacterial small subunit ribosomal RNA", at positions 108 to 725 of the family's 1533-position model. Lineage: Bacteria; Pseudomonadati; Pseudomonadota; Gammaproteobacteria; Enterobacterales; Enterobacteriaceae. The record is from RNAcentral.